RNAcentral lists this ribosomal RNA (284 nucleotides) under uncultured bacterium. RNAcentral describes it as "partial 16S ribosomal RNA". It matches the Rfam family "Bacterial small subunit ribosomal RNA", at positions 338 to 639 of the family's 1533-position model. The record is from RNAcentral.
CCUACGGGAGGCAGCAGUGGGGAAUAUUGCACAAUGGGGGAAACCCUGAUGCGGCGACGCCGCGUGAGUGAAGAAGUAUUUCGGUAUGUAAAGCUCUAUCAGCAGGGAAGAAAAUGACGGUACCUGACUAAGAAGCCCCGGCUAACUACGUGCCAGCAGCCGCGGUAAUACGUAGGGGGCAAGCGUUAUCCGGAUUUACUGGGUGUAAAGGGAGCGUAGACGGCAUGGCAAGUCAGAUGUGAAAGCCCGGGGCUCAACCCCGAAACUGCCUCUAAUACUGUUGG